RNAcentral lists this ribosomal RNA (403 nucleotides) under uncultured bacterium. Its description in RNAcentral is "bacterial SSU rRNA". It matches the Rfam family "Bacterial small subunit ribosomal RNA", at positions 355 to 774 of the family's 1533-position model. The record is from RNAcentral.
UAGGGAAUAUUGCAAAAUGGGCGAAAGCCCGAUGCAGCAACGCCGCGUGGGCGAUGAAGGCCUUCGGGUCGUAAGGCCCUUUUUGAGGGGAUGAGGAAGGACAGUACCCUCAGAAUAAGCCUCGGCUAACUACGUGCCAGCAGCCGCGGUAAAACGUAGGAGGCGAGCGUUAUCCGGAUUUACUGGGCGUAAAGCGCGUGCAGGCGGAUUGGAGAGUUGGAUGUGAAAGCUCCCGGCUUAACUGGGAGAGGUCGUUCAAUACUUCCAGUCUUGAGUGCAGUAGAGGGAAGUGGAAUUCCGGGUGUAGUGGUGAAAUGCGUAGAUAUCCGGAGGAACACCAGUGGCGAAAGCGGCUUCCUGAACUGUAACUGACGCUCAGACGCGAAAGCUAGGGUAGCAAACG